This is a long non-coding RNA of Marmota monax (woodchuck), 901 nucleotides long. RefSeq lists it as uncharacterized. The record is from RefSeq and is a predicted model, not a curated record. Lineage: Eukaryota; Metazoa; Chordata; Mammalia; Rodentia; Sciuridae. The transcript is spliced from 4 exons.
CUGGGACAGGACCAGGAACUGUUGGCGGGGCCGGGCCGGGACUGGAGCACUGGGCGGAGAUCCGGACCGCACCGGCGACGGUGGGGCGGGAGAAGCCGCCUUCUGAGACCAGGCCGCCCCCGUCUACGUGAAGACUCUGCCAGGUGAAGACUCUUGCCUUGCGCUCUGCACCAUCAGCCUCUUGUUAUCUGUUCCCCCUAGGACUCCCCAAUUUUUGACAGUGACAGUCUCCUUUCGGUGGUCCCGCCCAAAGUGGAAUCUGAGCAAGUGGCACCCUACUACCUGCGCAGCCCUCAAACGUCUGCAGAUGCUGCUCACAGUCUUCUGGACACCCAGGGAUCUCUUAGAGGAAGCCUGAAAAUAAAUGAGAAGCUUUAUAAACAUUUAGGACUGACUGACAGACCUGAACCCAGCAUGAGGAGACAAAGGUGCCAACACCCCCAGGCCCCUACGUGGAUACCCAACAUGAGCAGUUUCUCUGUGCUCCUGAGCCUCUUCUCAGUACUACAGGAAGGACACUCACCGGCACCUCACAGAAGGGGAAGCCAGAAGGCUCAGUGAUCAUCACACUCUGAGUGCAGGGGUCUUGCUAAAUUGCUUAGGUUCUCAACUAAGUUGUCCAAGCUGGCCUUAAACUGAUUCUCCUGCCUCAGCCUCCUGAAUUGCUGAAAUGCAGACACAACAUCUUUGUUUUGUAUGUGGUGCUGAGGAUCGAACCCGGGCUGCACGCAUGCCAGGCGAGCGCGCUACCGCUUGAGCCACAUCCCCAGCCCCUGCUGUGGAUAUUUAUGAAAAUAGGUAUUUGACCUGCAUAAUCACUUACAUGUAAACAAUAUUUUGUACAUGCAUGCAUUUACACAGCCAUUCUGUUUUCAACAAAUAGAGUCAUGUCAUGCCUGCA